RNAcentral lists this ribosomal RNA (464 nucleotides) under Gemella morbillorum. RNAcentral's name for it is "bacterial SSU rRNA". It matches the Rfam family "Bacterial small subunit ribosomal RNA", at positions 28 to 488 of the family's 1533-position model. Lineage: Bacteria; Bacillati; Bacillota; Bacilli; Caryophanales; Gemellaceae. The record is from RNAcentral.
GACGAACGCUGGCGGCGUGCCUAAUACAUGCAAGUCGAGCGAAGUUUUUCUGGUGCUUGCACUAGAAAAACUUAGCGGCGAACGGGUGAGUAACACGUAAAGAACCUGCCUCAUAGACUGGGACAACUAUUGGAAACGAUAGCUAAUACCGGAUAACAGUAUUUCUCGCAUGGGAGAUAUUUAAAAGUUGGUUAUGCUAACACUAUGAGAUGGCUUUGCGGUGCAUUAGCUAGUUGGUGGGGUAAAGGCCCACCAAGGCGACGAUGCAUAGCCGACCUGAGAGGGUGAUCGGCCACACUGGGACUGAGACACGGCCCAGACUCCUACGGGAGGCAGCAGUAGGGAAUCUUCCGCAAUGGGCGAAAGCCUGACGGAGCAACGCCGCGUGAGUGAAGAAGGAUUUCGGUUCGUAAAGCUCUGUUGUUAGGGAAGAAUGGAUAUGUAGUAACUAUACAUAUAAGAGA